GCUUAGGCGUGUGACUGCGUACCUUUUGUAUAAUGGGUCAGCGACUUAUAUUCUGUAGCAAGGUUAACCGAAUAGGGGAGCCGAAGGGAAACCGAGUCUUAACUGGGCGUUAAGUUGCAGGGUAUAGACCCGAAACCCGGUGAUCUAGCCAUGGGCAGGUUGAAGGUUGGGUAACACUAACUGGAGGACCGAACCGACUAAUGUUGAAAAAUUAGCGGAUGACUUGUGGCUGGGGGUGAAAGGCCAAUCAAACCGGGAGAUAGCUGGUUCUCCCCGAAAGCUAUUUAGGUAGCGCCUCGUGAAUUCAUCUCCGGGGGUAGAGCACUGUUUCGGCAAGGGGGUCAUCCCGACUUACCAACCCGAUGCAAACUGCGAAUACCGGAGAAUGUUAUCACGGGAGACACACGGCGGGUGCUAACGUCCGUCGUGAAGAGGGAAACAACCCAGACCGCCAGCUAAGGUCCCAAAGUCAUGGUUAAGUGGGAAACGAUGUGGGAAGGCCCAGACAGCCAGGAUGUUGGCUUAGAAGCAGCCAUCAUUUAAAGAAAGCGUAAUAGCUCACUGGUCGAGUCGGCCUGCGCGGAAGAUGUAACGGGGCUAAACCAUGCACCGAAGCUGCGGCAGCGACGCUUAUGCGUUGUUGGGUAGGGGAGCGUUCUGUAAGCCUGUGAAGGUGUGCUGUGAGGCAUGCUGGAGGUAUCAGAAGUGCGAAUGCUGACAUAAGUAACGAUAAAGCGGGUGAAAAGCCCGCUCGCCGGAAGACCAAGGGUUCCUGUCCAACGUUAAUCGGGGCAGGGUGAGUCGACCCCUAAGGCGAGGCCGAAAGGCGUAGUCGAUGGGAAACAGGUUAAUAUUCCUGUACUUGGUGUUACUGCGAAGGG
This 881-nucleotide ribosomal RNA is filed under the name Escherichia coli. RNAcentral's name for it is "partial 23S ribosomal RNA". It matches the Rfam family "Bacterial large subunit ribosomal RNA", at positions 583 to 1468 of the family's 2925-position model. The record is from RNAcentral. Lineage: Bacteria; Pseudomonadati; Pseudomonadota; Gammaproteobacteria; Enterobacterales; Enterobacteriaceae.